RNAcentral lists this ribosomal RNA (104 nucleotides) under uncultured bacterium. Its description in RNAcentral is "partial 16S ribosomal RNA". The record is from RNAcentral.
UGCCGCGUGCAGGAUGAAGGCCUUCGGGUUGUAAACUGCUUUUGUACGGAACGAAAAGUCUCUUUCUAAUAAAGAGGGAUGAUGACGUACCGAAGAUAGCCCGC